GUGCGUUAUAGGGUCUCCCUACAGCUGUCCUAGAGCUGCUGGGGCAUCACGGGGUUCUUGGGGUCGUCCCCGUGCCGCUCGCUGUUGUCACUGUCACGGGGUCCCAGCAGGGAGUUGUGGAGCCGUUGGGGUGUCACAGGGUCCCCAGGAAUGUCCCUGUGUCACCCGCUGUUGUCACUGUCACCUGGUCUUCCUGUAGCUGUCCUGGAGCUGUUGGGGUGUCACAGGGUCCCUGGGGUUGUUUAGUGUCUCUGGGGUGUCACAGGGUCCCCUCGGGUGUCCCCGUGUCAGUCGCUGUGCUCCCUUUGCCUGUCACAGGCAGCCCUGGGGGGUCGCGGGGUCCCUUGGGUCCCCCCGUGCCACCCGCUGUGGCCCGUUUUUGUUGUCCCAGUGUCCCCUGGAGCUGUCUGAGCGCGCUCGGGGUGUCACGGGGUCCCCGGGGCUGCGUCACCGCGUCCCCGAGGCCACCACGGUGCCGGUGCCUGUGUCACGGGGCCCCGUGUGUCACCGAGGCCCCGGACCGUGUCACGAGGUCCCCGAGGCCACCGCAGGGCGGGUUCCCUCCCCCGUGGGCGUCCCCGAGGCCACCUCGCCCCGCUGUGUCACCGGGCCUGAGGCCACACGGUGUCACCGGCCACCACGGCCACCGUGGGGCUGGGCCCAACCUUGUGCCCGGUGUCACAUGUCCCCAAGGCCACCAAGGGGUCGGGGCCCUGAGACCAGCUCUGUCCCUGGUGUCACAGUGUCCCCAAGGCCACCUGAUCCCAUCAGUAGAUCCCCGAUGCCACCCUGGUUCCAUGUCACACGUCCCCAAGGCCACCAAGGGGUCGGGGCCCUAAGGCCACCUCUGUCCCCGGUGUCACAGUGUCCCUAAGGCCACCCGUCCCCCAUCAUUGGGUCCCCGAUGCCACCCUGGUUGCAUGUCACACGUCCCCAAGGCCACCAAGGGGUUGGGGCCCUGAGACCAGCUCUGUCUCUGGUGUCACAGUGUCCCCAAGGCCACCUGAUCCCAUCAGUAGAUCCCCGAUGGCACCCUGGCUCCGUGUCACACGUCACCAAGGGGUUGAGGCCCCGAGGCCACCUCUGUCCCCGGUGUCACAGUGUCCCCAAGGCCACCUGAUCCCAUCAGUAGAUCCCUGAUGCCACCCUGGUUCCAUGUCACACGUCCCCAAGGCCAC
RNAcentral lists this long non-coding RNA (1178 nucleotides) under Dromaius novaehollandiae (emu). RNAcentral's name for it is "lncRNA (ENSDNVG00000006685.1)". The record is from RNAcentral. Lineage: Eukaryota; Metazoa; Chordata; Aves; Casuariiformes; Dromaiidae.